This 534-nucleotide ribosomal RNA is filed under the name uncultured bacterium. Its description in RNAcentral is "bacterial SSU rRNA". It matches the Rfam family "Bacterial small subunit ribosomal RNA", at positions 975 to 1509 of the family's 1533-position model. The record is from RNAcentral.
UUGGCCUUGACAUACUAAGAACUUUCCAGAGAUGGAUUGGUGCCUUCGGGAACUUAGAUACAGGUGCUGCAUGGCUGUCGUCAGCUCGUGUCGUGAGAUGUUGGGUUAAGUCCGCAACGAGCGCAACCCUUUUCCUUAUUUGCCAGCGGGUCAUGCCGGGAACUUUAAGGAUACUGCCAGUGACAAACUGGAGGAAGGCGGGGACGACGUCAAGUCAUCAUGGCCCUUACGGCCAGGGCUACACACGUGCUACAAUGGUCGGUACAAAGGGUUGUUACCUCGCGAGAGGAUGCUAAUCUCAAAAAGCCGAUCGUAGUCCGGAUCGCAGUCUGCAACUCGACUGCGUGAAGUCGGAAUCGCUAGUAAUCGCGGAUCAGAAUGCCGCGGUGAAUACGUUCCCGGGCCUUGUACACACCGCCCGUCACACCAUGGGAGUUUGUUGCACCAGAAGUAGGUAGUCUAACCGCAAGGAGGACGCUUACCACGGUGUGGCCGAUGACUGGGGUGAAGUCGUAACAAGGUAAGCGUAGAUGA